GUAGGUGAACCUGCGGAAGGAUCAUUAUUGAUUGAUAAAAGGGAUGUGCUGGCAAAAUUUUAUUUUGCAUUGUGCACUCCUGAAAUCCUUCAUCCACUUGUGAACUUUUGUAGACAAAAAGUCAAUGAAAUGUUGCUUAAUUUUUGUUGCUUUUUGUUUACGAUGUGUAAUAUACGAUUAUCAGUUAUUGAAUGGGAUGAUUGGCUUAUUGAAAGUCAAAAAAUUGAUACAACUUUCAACAAUGGAUUUC
This 250-nucleotide unclassified non-coding RNA is filed under the name plant metagenome. Its description in RNAcentral is "partial contains small subunit ribosomal RNA, internal transcribed spacer 1, and 5.8S ribosomal RNA". The record is from RNAcentral.